AUUGAACGCUGGCGGCAGGCCUAACACAUGCAAGUCGAACGAGUGGCGGACGGGUGAGUAAUGUCUGGGAAACUGCCUGAUGGAGGGGGAUAACUACUGGAAACGGUAGCUAAUACCGCAUACCAUCAGAUGUGCCCCGAUGGGAUUAGCUUGUUGGUGGGGUAACGGCUCACCAAGGCGACGAUCCCUAGCUGGUCUGAGAGGAUGACCGGCAACACGGGAACUGAGACACGGUCCAGACGCCUCCGGGAGGCAGCAGUUGGGAAUAUUGCACAAUGGGCGCAAGCCGGAUGCAGCCAGGCCGCGGGUAUGAAGAAGGCGUUCGGGUGGUAAAGUACGUUCUGCAGGGAGACGGUACCCGCAGAGGAAGCACCGGCUAACUCCGUGCCAGCCGCCGCGGUAAUUC
This 406-nucleotide ribosomal RNA is filed under the name uncultured bacterium. RNAcentral describes it as "partial 16S ribosomal RNA". It matches the Rfam family "Bacterial small subunit ribosomal RNA", at positions 29 to 526 of the family's 1533-position model. The record is from RNAcentral.